GAUGAACGCUGGCGGCGUGCCUAAUACAUGCAAGUCGAGCGAACGGACGAGAAGCUUGCUUCUCUGAUGUUAGCGGCGGACGGGUGAGUAACACGUGGAUAACCUACCUCUAAGACUUGGAUAACUUCGGGAAACCGGAGCUAAUACCGGAUAAUAUUUUGAACCGCAUGGUUCAAAAGUGAAAGACGGUCUUGCUGUCACUUCUAGAUGGAUCCGCGCUGCAUUAGCUAGUUGGUAAGGUAACGGCUUACCAAGGCAACGAUGCAUAGCCGACCUGAGAGGGUGAUCGGGCACACUGGGACUGAGACACGGUCCAGACUCCUACGGGAGGCAGCAGUAGGGAAUCUUCCGCGAUGGGCGAAAGCCUGACGGAGCAACGCCGCGUGAGUGAUGAAGGGCUUCGGAUCGUAAAACUCUGUUAUUAGGGAAGAACAUAUGUGUAAGUAACUGUGCACAUCUUGACGGUACCUAAUCAGAAAGCCACGGCUAACUACGUG
RNAcentral lists this ribosomal RNA (497 nucleotides) under uncultured bacterium. RNAcentral's name for it is "partial 16S ribosomal RNA". It matches the Rfam family "Bacterial small subunit ribosomal RNA", at positions 28 to 507 of the family's 1533-position model. The record is from RNAcentral.